GAUGAACGCUGGCGGCGUGCCUAAUACAUGCAAGUCGAGCGAACGGACGAGAAGCUUGCUUCUCUGAUGUUAGCGGCGGACGGGUGAGUAACACGUGGAUAACCUACCUAUAAGACUGGGAUAACUUCGGGAAACCGGAGCUAAUACCGGAUGAUAUUUUGAACCGCAUGGUUCAAAAGUGAAAGACGGUCUUGCUGUCACUUAUAGAUGGAUCCGCGCUGCAUUAGCUAGUUGGUAAGGUAACGGCUUACCAAGGCAACGAUGCAUAGCCGACCUGAGAGGGUGAUAGGCCACACUGGAACUGAGACACGGUCCAGACUCCUACGGGAGGCAGCAGUAGGGAAUCUUCCGCAAUGGGCGAAAGCCUGACGGAGCAACGCCGCGUGAGUGAUGAAGGUCUUCGGAUCGUAAAACUCUGUUAUUAGGGAAGAACAUAUGUGUAAGUAACUGUGCACAUCUUGACGGUACCUAAUCAGAAAGCCACGACUAACUACGUG
RNAcentral lists this ribosomal RNA (497 nucleotides) under uncultured bacterium. Its description in RNAcentral is "partial 16S ribosomal RNA". It matches the Rfam family "Bacterial small subunit ribosomal RNA", at positions 28 to 507 of the family's 1533-position model. The record is from RNAcentral.